Molecule: ribosomal RNA, 253 nt
Filed under: uncultured bacterium
Lineage: Bacteria
Description: partial 16S ribosomal RNA
Rfam family: Bacterial small subunit ribosomal RNA
Source: RNAcentral
UACGUAGGGUGCGAGCGUUGUCCGGAAUUACUGGGCGUAAAGGGCUUGUAGGUGGUUUGUCGCGUUGUUCGUGAAAACUCAAGGCUUAACUCUGGGCGUGCGGGCGAUACGGGCAGACUGGAGUACUGCAGGGGAGACUGGAAUUCCUGGUGUAGCGGUGGAAUGCGCAGAUAUCAGGAGGAACACCGGUGGCGAAGGCGGGUCUCUGGGCAGUAACUGACGCUGAGGAGAGAAAGCGUGGGGAGUGAACAGG